GACGAACGCUGGCGGCGUGCUUAACACAUGCAAGUCGAACGGAAAGGCCCUGCUUUUGUGGGGUGCUCGAGUGGCGAACGGGUGAGUAACACGUGAGUAACCUGCCCUUGACUUUGGGAUAACUUCAGGAAACUGGGGCUAAUACCGGAUAGGAGCUCCUGCUGCAUGGUGGGGGUUGGAAAGUUUCGGCGGUUGGGGAUGGACUCGCGGCUUAUCAGCUUGUUGGUGGGGUAGUGGCUUACCAAGGCUUUGACGGGUAGCCGGCCUGAGAGGGUGACCGGCCACAUGGGGACUGAGAUACGGACCAGACUCCUACGGGAGGCAGCAGUGGGGAGUAUUGCCCAAUGGGCGGAAGCCUGAUGCAGAAACGCCGCGUGCGGGAUGACGGCCUUCGGGUUGUAAACCGCUUUCGCCUGUGACGAAGCGUGAGUGACGGUAAUGGGUAAAGAAGCACCGGCUAACUACGUG
This 468-nucleotide ribosomal RNA is filed under the name uncultured bacterium. RNAcentral describes it as "partial 16S ribosomal RNA". It matches the Rfam family "Bacterial small subunit ribosomal RNA", at positions 28 to 507 of the family's 1533-position model. The record is from RNAcentral.